RNAcentral lists this transfer RNA (68 nucleotides) under Anolis carolinensis (green anole). It matches the Rfam family "tRNA". From Rfam's summary of the family: Transfer RNA (tRNA) molecules are approximately 80 nucleotides in length. Their secondary structure includes four short double-helical elements and three loops (D, anti-codon, and T loops). Further hydrogen bonds mediate the characteristic L-shaped molecular structure. tRNAs have two regions of fundamental functional importance: the anti-codon, which is responsible for specific mRNA codon recognition, and the 3' end, to which the tRNAs corresponding amino acid is attached (by aminoacyl-tRNA synthetases). tRNAs cope with the degeneracy of the genetic code in two manners: having more than one tRNA (with a specific anti-codon) for a particular amino acid; and 'wobble' base-pairing, i.e. permitting non-standard base-pairing at the 3rd anti-codon position. The record is from Rfam by way of RNAcentral. Lineage: Eukaryota; Metazoa; Chordata; Lepidosauria; Squamata; Anolidae.
GGGUGGCUCAAUGCUUUGAGCAUUGGACUACAAAUCUGGAGAACAGGGUUUGAAUCCCUGUUCAUCCA